UUUUGUUUUGGGCAUUUUUAUUAAUGAUUUAUUUAAUUUCUUUUCUGGGUUCAGGUAGCUUGAAUUUAUUGAAAUAGUGGUUUUUUUCUGCGUCAAUUUUGAAGUCCAACAUUGAUGGCUUUGUUGUAUUUACAACAGAAAUACUAUCCUAUAGCCUUUUUGUGAGGUAAUUGCUAAAUAAGUUCCAUAUUCAUUACUGUUGUAGCCACUGAGACAGAAAGUAGAAUGUUACCUAUUCAUCUAAAAGUCUUAAACCA
This 257-nucleotide long non-coding RNA is filed under the name Olea europaea (common olive). RNAcentral describes it as "long non-coding RNA (OEUR_LNC001587)". The record is from RNAcentral. Lineage: Eukaryota; Viridiplantae; Streptophyta; Magnoliopsida; Lamiales; Oleaceae.